Molecule: long non-coding RNA, 256 nt
Filed under: Bos taurus (domestic cattle)
Lineage: Eukaryota; Metazoa; Chordata; Mammalia; Artiodactyla; Bovidae
Description: long non-coding RNA NONBTAT026951
Source: RNAcentral
GACAUUUGGAUUAAUCAAGCAUAAUUAAAUGUAGUUAGAUUUUUGUCAGAUUGUAGUUCAAAAUAAUAUUCAUCUAUGAAGAGGGUAAUAUAUUCUGUAGAAAUUUUAUUAGGCACUUUAGUUAAGCAAACACUAAGAACAAAAUCAGCCUCAGGAAGGUUAAUUACCAAAAAAAAAAGUAUAGUAGAUUAUAUAAAUCAUUUUAAUUUUGAAUACCAUGGCUGAAGCUUUAAUUUACAUAGAGAAGUAUUUUGGA